AUGCACACGCCAUUAGUUUCGACGACAUGUGAUGACAGAUGUUCUACUGGACUUUUUUAUGGUUCACAAGCAGAGGGAGGGCGUACCUUUGGCCUUCCUCCUGACCAUGUCGGAGGCGGUGAUCCACUGGACGAGGUCCCAGGAGAGCGCGUACCCCAUGCCGAGCAUGAACGGCGGCGACACCCGGUCCAUGAACGGCAGGCCCACGCCGUAGUACAUGUCCUCCCGCGGCGCCCGCCGCAGCGUCUCCACCAGCGCGUCCAGCCGGAGGUACGUGUCGUCGUCCACCUUCAUCACGUAGUCGUACGGCGGCCUGCGGCCCUCGCCGCCGGAGGCGCCGAGCAUGGCCGGCAGGUCCGAGAAGUAGGUGUACGUCUUGCCGUCCUCGGCGUUCUCGGUGCAGUUGAAGAGCAGCACGUCGCCGUAGGCGCGGCGCUCCAGCGCCACGAACGCGCCGUGCUCGGGCGGCAUCGGCCGCGCGCAGAGCGCGAACCGGACGUCCACCCGCGCCGCGCCGCGGAGGGCCGCCAUCUGCUGCAGCGCGUACGCCAUCCGGAUCAGGUGCCGCCGGGAGUGCUUCUUGGGCAUCGUGUGCACGCCGAGGAGGAUGCGGAGCUGGCCCGGGCGGCGGCCCCCGUCGUCCGCCACCAACGCCGCCGACGCCGACGCCGCUGGUUGGGCGGCGGCGGCGGCGCGGACGUCGGCUCCCGUGAAGCAGCUGGCGACGCUGACCGGGUUGCGCAGGUAGGCGGGGAAGGCGAUGCAGAGCAGGGUGAGGAGGAGGACGAGGGCCAUGGCGCAGUAGGACGGCCUCCCGAAGUACGACGAGGACGACAUUGCUCGACCUUGGGUUGUGUGCAAUGA
Molecule: ribosomal RNA, 864 nt
Filed under: Triticum aestivum (bread wheat)
Lineage: Eukaryota; Viridiplantae; Streptophyta; Magnoliopsida; Poales; Poaceae
Description: partial small subunit ribosomal RNA
Source: RNAcentral